CAGGCUUAGACCCUUCAGUAAUACACCUCAAGUGUGUGAAAUACGGAUACAAAUAAAUGAGAUCUUGGUAGACCCCAUCUGGUAGAAUAGAGUGGAGCAGAGCACAUUAGAGAUGAAUAGAGCCGAGGAGAGGGGCGAGGUGAGCAAUAGAAGCAGAGACAUUCGAGUAUAGAGGGAAGAGGAGAGGUCAGGAGGGAGUGGAAAGAGGACAUGGGAUCGAGCGUACCGUUUCGCCCUACAGUCAAUACAUGUCCUACAUCAGUUGACGCGGUAAGAUGUGUGAUUCAAUCAUUUCCGGCUGGAUUUUUUCCAUUUGCUACUCGUUGACAAGAAACAGAUGGAGGAAGAGACGCUAACCGGAGGCUUUCUACUCCUUUAUCAGUUCUGUUUGUCUCCCCCCCAUCUGUCUCCUUCACUCUACAGCACGCUGCACAUCUGGUACCAACCCACACUGGGCCUCCUUAUGUCACAUUAAGGCAAAUCACUACAGCCUACCCACUGUUGGCAAACAUGGCCGAGAGGAAUUCCAACCAACGACUUCUAACAAGGCUUCACAAACACCUGUCUACUGCGGUACGUUAUUGAUUUUUUUAUAUUUAAAAUUCAGACAUUUGUGCACGUUCUCGGCUAAGUUUGUCUCUCCAUACCACCCCAGCUCAUUGUCCUUAUAUAUACAUAUUGACACACUCUGAGAGAUUGUUCAGGUGACCGUGACCAUUUAUAUGCAUAUUUCCAAAUACGUGGUUAUUACUUGAAUAUACUGGUGGGAUAAUGUCGAGUAGAAUGAUCCAGACAGGUCUUUUUUUCCCACCCAAUGAAAAGGGUGAGUAAGGACAGUGAAGAUGCAAAAACAUCUUUGAUUUCCAAGCAGUGACUUCAA
This is a long non-coding RNA of Gadus macrocephalus (Pacific cod), 880 nucleotides long. RefSeq lists it as uncharacterized. The record is from RefSeq and is a predicted model, not a curated record. The transcript is spliced from 2 exons. NCBI's taxonomy places the organism in Eukaryota, Metazoa, Chordata, Actinopteri, Gadiformes, Gadidae.